CUUUUUAACAGAUGAAACGGAGGCACACAGAGGCUUGGGGCCUUAUCGCAGGUCACACGUCACGUCAGUGGAGCUGGGCUGGGGCAGGUGGCACCUGCAGGUAAAUUUCUAUGUGGUCUGCAAGCCCCGCAGGGACAUGGGUUUUAACCUAUAAGGAUAAUGCAGGUCAGCCAUGGAAAGUGACCGAGGGAAGAUGAGAGCCAGGAUGCAGAGUGCAGUGUGGAUUGGAGGGACGGAGACCAGAGUCUGGGUCUGGACUCGGCAGCAGGAGCUUGAUGAGUGGAAAUGCUUUCUGUGGGUGCUCCCACCAGCUGAGCUUUGGCAGGAAGACUCAGAGAAAACCUGUAAGGAAAAAAAAAAGUUCCUGCAAGAUGGAGGUCAAACUGGUUCCAGCAUGCUUCUGCUCCCAGGUGGCCUAGAGGUGGAAGCUAUUCGGAUGAAAACACUGUUCCACACUAAAUUCUCUCAGCUUGAAGUUACCCAAUUCCACAGGCAAGAGAAGCCUGACUCUUCACAGGCUGCACACUCCCUUUAAUUUGAGCAAGUGACCUAAGUUUUGCCUAUUCAUUGAUAUUUUGCCAAAUUCUAGUAUUUUAAGGAGUAUGACCUGAAACCAGACAAGUUGGCACAUGCAUGUAAUCUUAGCACUCAGGAGGCUGAGGCAAGAGGACCACAGUGAGAUCCUAUCUCAAAAAAAAAAAAAAAAAAAGACCCAAUGACAAAGAAUAUAGAUGUCCUGCAUUUGUGCUCCCUUUCUCACAUUCUCUAGCCUUUUCCCUAUUAGAAUCAGUUAAUAUUUGGUUGUUUUACACACUACAAAAUCAAGUAAGGGGUAGAAGAAACAGGAAGUGCCAGAU
Molecule: long non-coding RNA, 857 nt
Filed under: Heterocephalus glaber (naked mole-rat)
Lineage: Eukaryota; Metazoa; Chordata; Mammalia; Rodentia; Bathyergidae
Description: lncRNA (ENSHGLG00000043795.1)
Source: RNAcentral